Molecule: ribosomal RNA, 253 nt
Filed under: uncultured bacterium
Lineage: Bacteria
Description: partial 16S ribosomal RNA
Rfam family: Bacterial small subunit ribosomal RNA
Source: RNAcentral
UACGGAGGAUCCAAGCGUUAUCCGGAAUCAUUGGGUUUAAAGGGUCCGUAGGCGGUUUAAUAAGUCAGUGGUGAAAGCCCAUCGCUCAACGGUGGAACGGCCAUUGAUACUGUUAAGCUUGAAUUAUUAGGAAGUAACUAGAAUAUGUAGUGUAGCGGUGAAAUGCUUAGAGAUUACAUGGAAUACCAAUUGCGAAGGCAGGUUACUACUAAUGGAUUGACGCUGAUGGACGAAAGCGUGGGUAGCGAACAGG